This 253-nucleotide ribosomal RNA is filed under the name uncultured bacterium. RNAcentral's name for it is "partial 16S ribosomal RNA". It matches the Rfam family "Bacterial small subunit ribosomal RNA", at positions 524 to 776 of the family's 1533-position model. The record is from RNAcentral.
UACGUAGGGACCGAGCGUUGUCCGGAAUCAUUGGGCGUAAAGAGCGUGUAGGCGGCCUUUUAAGUCCUGCGUGAAAUCCUGCGGCUCAACCGCAGACGGUCGUGGGAAACUGGAAGGCUAGAGUGCGGGAGAGGAGAGUGGAAUUCCCGGUGUAGCGGUGAAAUGCGCAGAUAUCGGGAAGAACACCCGUGGCGAAGGCGGCUCUCUGGAACGCAACUGACGCUGAGGCGCGAAAGCGUGGGGAGCAAACAGG